This 1386-nucleotide ribosomal RNA is filed under the name uncultured Staphylococcus sp. Its description in RNAcentral is "16S ribosomal RNA". It matches the Rfam family "Bacterial small subunit ribosomal RNA", at positions 66 to 1433 of the family's 1533-position model. Lineage: Bacteria; Bacillati; Bacillota; Bacilli; Caryophanales; Staphylococcaceae. The record is from RNAcentral.
GCGAACAGAUAAGGAGCUUGCUCCUUUGACGUUAGCGGCGGACGGGUGAGUAACACGUGGGUAACCUACCUAUAAGACUGGGAUAACUUCGGGAAACCGGAGCUAAUACCGGAUAACAUUUGGAACCGCAUGGUUCUAAAGUGAAAGAUGGUUUUGCUAUCACUUAUAGAUGGACCCGCGCCGUAUUAGCUAGUUGGUAAGGUAACGGCUUACCAAGGCGACGAUACGUAGCCGACCUGAGAGGGUGAUCGGCCACACUGGAACUGAGACACGGUCCAGACUCCUACGGGAGGCAGCAGUAGGGAAUCUUCCGCAAUGGGCGAAAGCCUGACGGAGCAACGCCGCGUGAGUGAUGAAGGGUUUCGGCUCGUAAAACUCUGUUAUUAGGGAAGAACAAACGUGUAAGUAACUGUGCACGUCUUGACGGUACCUAAUCAGAAAGCCACGGCUAACUACGUGCCAGCAGCCGCGGUAAUACGUAGGUGGCAAGCGUUAUCCGGAAUUAUUGGGCGUAAAGCGCGCGUAGGCGGUUUCUUAAGUCUGAUGUGAAAGCCCACGGCUCAACCGUGGAGGGUCAUUGGAAACUGGGAAACUUGAGUGCAGAAGAGGAAAGUGGAAUUCCAUGUGUAGCGGUGAAAUGCGCAGAGAUAUGGAGGAACACCAGUGGCGAAGGCGACUUUCUGGUCUGUAACUGACGCUGAUGUGCGAAAGCGUGGGGAUCAAACAGGAUUAGAUACCCUGGUAGUCCACGCCGUAAACGAUGAGUGCUAAGUGUUAGGGGGUUUCCGCCCCUUAGUGCUGCAGCUAACGCAUUAAGCACUCCGCCUGGGGAGUACGACCGCAAGGUUGAAACUCAAAGGAAUUGACGGGGACCCGCACAAGCGGUGGAGCAUGUGGUUUAAUUCGAAGCAACGCGAAGAACCUUACCAAAUCUUGACAUCCUUUGAAAACUCUAGAGAUAGAGCCUUCCCCUUCGGGGGACAAAGUGACAGGUGGUGCAUGGUUGUCGUCAGCUCGUGUCGUGAGAUGUUGGGUUAAGUCCCGCAACGAGCGCAACCCUUAAGCUUAGUUGCCAUCAUUAAGUUGGGCACUCUAGGUUGACUGCCGGUGACAAACCGGAGGAAGGUGGGGAUGACGUCAAAUCAUCAUGCCCCUUAUGAUUUGGGCUACACACGUGCUACAAUGGACAAUACAAAGGGCAGCUAAACCGCGAGGUCAUGCAAAUCCCAUAAAGUUGUUCUCAGUUCGGAUUGUAGUCUGCAACUCGACUACAUGAAGCUGGAAUCGCUAGUAAUCGUAGAUCAGCAUGCUACGGUGAAUACGUUCCCGGGUCUUGUACACACCGCCCGUCACACCACGAGAGUUUGUAACACCCGAAGCCGGUGG